Molecule: ribosomal RNA, 542 nt
Filed under: uncultured Bacillota bacterium
Lineage: Bacteria; Bacillati; Bacillota
Description: bacterial SSU rRNA
Rfam family: Bacterial small subunit ribosomal RNA
Source: RNAcentral
CUACGGGAGGCAGCAGUGGGGAAUAUUGCACAAUGGGGGAAACCCUGAUGCAGCAACGCCGCGUGAAGGAAGACGGUUUUCGGAUUGUAAACUUCUGUUCUUAGUGAAGAAUAAUGACGGUAGCUAAGGAGCAAGCCACGGCUAACUACGUGCCAGCAGCCGCGGUAAUACGUAGGUGGCAAGCGUUGUCCGGAAUUACUGGGUGUAAAGGGAGCGCAGGCGGGAAGCCAAGUCAGCUGUGAAAACUACAGGCUUAACUUGUAGACUGCAGCUGAAACUGGUUUUCUUGAGUGAAGUAGAGGUUGGCGGAAUUCCGAGUGUAGCGGUGAAAUGCGUAGAUAUUCGGAGGAACACCGGUGGCGAAGGCGGCCAACUGGGCCUUAACUGACGCUGAGGCUCGAAAGUGUGGGGAGCAAACAGGAUUAGAUACCCUGGUAGUCCACACUGUAAACGAUGAUUGCUAGGUGUGGGGGGUCUGACCCCUUCCGUGCCGCAGCUAACGCAAUAAGCAAUCCACCUGGGGAGUACGACCGCAAGGUUGC